GAAUUUAAAAUUUUAUAAAUUUAUUAUGAAGAUUAAUGCUGAAGUUUAAUAGGUUUCUAUUUUAUUGGGAGGAUAGUUAAAUUAAAAAGACUUUAAUAAUAUAAAGACAUUAGUUUAUGAAUUAAUGAGUGAGUGAUUAGUAAGUUUAAAUAGAAUUAAUUACCUUAGGGAUAACAGCGUGAUAUAUUUAGAGAGAUUUUAUUAAUAAAGAUGGUUGC
This 218-nucleotide ribosomal RNA is filed under the name Pheidole rugatula. RNAcentral's name for it is "partial large subunit ribosomal RNA". Lineage: Eukaryota; Metazoa; Arthropoda; Insecta; Hymenoptera; Formicidae. The record is from RNAcentral.